CAAAGAUUAAGCCAUGCAUGUCCAAGUAUAAGCAAUCUAUACGGUGAAACUGCGAAUGGCUCAUUAAAUCAGUUAUCGUUUAUUUGAUAGUACCUUACUACAUGGAUAACCGUGGUAAUUCUAGAGCUAAUACAUGCUAAAAACCCCGACUUCGGAAGGGGUGUAUUUAUUAGAUAAAAAACCAGCGCCCUUCGGGGCUCCUUGGUGAUUCAUAAUAACUCAACGAAUCGCAUGGCCUUGCGCCGGCGAUGGUUCAUUCAAAUUUCUGCCCUAUCAACUUUCGAUGGUAGGAUAGUGGCCUACCAUGGUAUCAACGGGUAACGGGGAAUUAGGGUUCUAUUCCGGAGAGGGAGCCUGAGAAACGGCUACCACAUCCAAGGAAGGCAGCAGGCGCGCAAAUUACCCAAUCCCGACACGGGGAGGUAGUGACAAUAAAUACUGAUACAGGGCUCUUUUGGGUCUUGUAAUUGGAAUGAGUACAAUUUAAAUCCCUUAACGAGGAACAAUUGGAGGGCAAGUCUGGUGCCAGCAGCCGCGGUAAUUCCAGCUCCAAUAGCGUAUAUUAAAGUUGUUGCAGUUAAAAAGCUCGUAGUUGAACCUUGGGCCUGGCUGGCCGGUCCGCCUCACCGCGUGUACUGGUCCGGCCGGGCCUUUCCUUCUGGGGAGCCGCAUGCCCUUCACUGGGCGUGUCGGGGAACCAGGACUUUUACUUUGAAAAAAUUAGAGUGUUCAAAGCAG
RNAcentral lists this ribosomal RNA (738 nucleotides) under Saxomyces americanus. Its description in RNAcentral is "SSU rRNA". It matches the Rfam family "Eukaryotic small subunit ribosomal RNA", at positions 38 to 783 of the family's 1831-position model. The record is from RNAcentral. Lineage: Eukaryota; Fungi; Ascomycota; Dothideomycetes.